RNAcentral lists this ribosomal RNA (236 nucleotides) under uncultured Sclerocystis. Its description in RNAcentral is "partial small subunit ribosomal RNA". It matches the Rfam family "Eukaryotic small subunit ribosomal RNA", at positions 547 to 785 of the family's 1831-position model. The record is from RNAcentral. Lineage: Eukaryota; Fungi; Glomeromycota; Glomeromycetes; Glomerales; Glomeraceae.
UUUGGAGGGCAAGUCUGGUGCCAGCAGCCGCGGUAAUUCCAGCUCCAAUAGCGUAUAUUAAAGUUGUUGCAGUUAAAAAGCUCGUAGUUGAAUUUCGGGAUCAUCAGGUUGGUCGUGCCAUUGGUAUGUACUAGCUUUGGUGGUUCCUACCUCUUGAAGAACCGUAAUGUCAUUAACUUGGUGUUGCGGGGAAUCAGGACUGUUACUUUGAAAAAAUUAGAGUGUUUAAAGCAGGA